This 87-nucleotide transfer RNA is filed under the name Helicobacter anseris. RNAcentral describes it as "tRNA-Leu". It matches the Rfam family "tRNA". Rfam says of the family: Transfer RNA (tRNA) molecules are approximately 80 nucleotides in length. The record is from RNAcentral. Lineage: Bacteria; Pseudomonadati; Campylobacterota; Epsilonproteobacteria; Campylobacterales; Helicobacteraceae.
GCCGAAGUGGUGAAAUUGGUAGACGCGCCAGACUCAAAAUCUGGUGGAGGCAACUCCGUGUCGGUUCGAUUCCGACCUUCGGCACCA